RNAcentral lists this long non-coding RNA (792 nucleotides) under Lotus japonicus. Its description in RNAcentral is "long non-coding RNA (LJAP_LNC000559)". Lineage: Eukaryota; Viridiplantae; Streptophyta; Magnoliopsida; Fabales; Fabaceae. The record is from RNAcentral.
GGAGGAUGAGAGAACCAGGGAAGGUUCACGAACAAUCUGGAACCCAUUUGCUAUUAUUUCAACUAUCAAACACAAGCUCCACCAGAUUCCAAAAUUGAAUCACUAAAUCCAACAAACACCAGAUUAUGAGAAAUAUCACCUCCCCAGAUUAUGAGAAAUUUAAAUAAAAAAAUCUAUUCUUUCUUAUCAUUUAACUCUGUGUGUAUCUUCUCUUCUUCCCCAAGCUCUCUAUCUUGCAACCUUCUUCUAUUUUUCAGAUCUGGAAAUCAACAUCCAUAAUCCUCAUCAACAGAUCUGAAUCAUAGGCAAACAAAUUGUGGAAAAAAAAGAAAACAAAAUUGAUGUUUAAGAAGAUUUAAUGGAUCUUAUCUAGAGAUUUGGAAGAUGAUGAGGAUACCUUGCUUGGACGAAGGAUUUGAAGAUGGGAGGGAAUUAAUAGUGAGACCCAGCGGCGGUGGCUGUGGGAGAUAGCGACCAUUGCCUCUACACGCCCCACCGACUGUGAAACCUAGAUCUGAACGGGGACGGUGGAUCUUCAAAUUGGGGGAGGGGGUUCUUCGCACCAGACCCUCAGCCACCGCGCCGCUCCUCACUAUUGUGUCACGUGCCACCGCGGAAAUAACCAUGUGGGGCCAGCGCUUGAACUACCCAGUAACCACCACCGCUUCACUCCACGCAGAUCUGAAACUGGAAGUGGAGGAGGGAGAGGGUGUUGUGGUCGCCGGGAAAUGCACCGACGGAGAAGAAGGAGAGAAGGCAAGGGUUGUGCUGGGAGGAAAGGGUUGUGGUGGG